This is a non-coding RNA of Equus caballus (horse), 1675 nucleotides long. The record is from RefSeq and is a predicted model, not a curated record. NCBI's taxonomy places the organism in Eukaryota, Metazoa, Chordata, Mammalia, Perissodactyla, Equidae.
GUGGCUGGGUAUGUAUCUGUCUGGCAGACCCACAUCCCAUAGGUGGAUCCUGAAGACUGGCUCUGGAUAAACUGUGAUUGGGGGUGGGGGAGGAUUUCGACUUUGUAUAUAAGAUGCAUUCUCCUAUUCAUUUAUUAGCAAGCCCAGUGCUCUGCGUAGUAACAUUGACAAUGUAACUGGUUCUGAUAUGCUUCUCAGUCAGGAAGACCCCGGAAGGGAGAAGCUGUGUGAUAUCACCAGAUUUAGCUUCCUUAAUCCCAGCAAAUGUUCAUAAGAACUUCCCAAAAGUAUUCAUAUUCAAGCAAAAAGAUAUCAUGGACACUUCUCUAAAUUUCUGGUGCCUCCAGAACUCAGAAAUCAUAGGUGAGAAAAGAGAAGAUAGUUACAGAAACUGAGGAUGAGAUAAAGUAAACGAGCAUGAAAUUUAGCUCUUGAGCUUGCUGGUAGUGAUGGCAAAAAGGGACACGAUGAGUGACAUAGCUUUUUUUUUUUCUGACAAAUAAAACAUACUCAUUCUUCAAGAGAGAGAAAAUUAUUCCUGAGAAGAAAUCUAGAAGGGAUUUACUACAUGGAUCACUCUAUGGAACGUACUCAGUUAUUAAAAGGGAACAGCAAAGCACAGCUCACCCAUAGCCAUUUCCAACAUUCCCUCACCACUAACACCAGGACCACAGAGUUGAAAUGUGACCCAAUGAAAGACAUUUCUCUCUAAAGUGUGAAGUUACUAUGAUCUGGGGUCCUUGCUUCCUUGACAUCUCACCUGAUGUGCGGAUAGAGAGACUAGAAAGGAAGAGCAUGAGGAUGUCCCUUUGAUUCUCUCUCAAAUACCAGGCACCUCAGCCCUGCCUCGGCAAAAGACAAAUGACAGUCAGCCCAAAAUGGACCAUUCUAAGGAGUGCCUGCAUGGAAAUCAUUCAGGAAGCUAUGGAGGGCCCUCAGAGAGCUCGCAGUAGGGAGGUGGCUGCAGUGCCCUGGGAGCGCCAGGGAUAUCCUGGGGGAGGUGUGGCUUGGUAAACAGUGAGAAAGCUGGGAUAGGCCAGAUGAGCCGAUACCUCUGGCUGAAGGCUGAAUGGCUCCAUUAAUAAGAGGAAGUGGGAAAGAAACAUAAGUGGAAGGAGUGUGUUUACAGAAGUGCAUGUGCCUAUUUUGAAUGUUUGGGCAAGAGAGUGAAAUGUGCGGGGAAGUCCCAUGGGAGACUCGCAAUGGUCACCUUUUCCUUCCAGCGGUGUGCCACAAAUUCACGGAGGGACAGCUAUUCUGACAGAAGCCAACACAAGGACGGUCAUGAAGGGAAAUUGCUGCUAAGAAAUAUCAGGCAAUAUAUGAGGUGGCCUGGGAAUGGAGGUGGAAAACAUGCCUCUACGAACUGAUGUAAAUACAAGAAGUACACAGGCAGGAGCUCACGACUUCCAGCCACUACAGGGGACAAAGAGGCUGCAGGAGCUAAAUGUACGAAAUACUGCUUUGAAGGCUCUCAAGACUGGCUGAGAAACGACGAGAACUUUCAGCAGAUCAGCGCAGGCAGCAGCAGCAGCCUUCAGACGGCAAUGCACGUGCAAGAAGCUGGGGGCUGCUGGCCGGUUUUGUUUAUUUUUCCUCUCUCCCUCCCCUCACUUGGCUUCUCCCAAGCUGUGCAGUCAUUUGGUCUGCCUUCUUCGUGCAAGGACUGGCUGUU